UACGUAGGGUGCGAGCGUUGUCCGGAAUUAUUGGGCGUAAAGAGCUUGUAGGUGGUUUGUCGCGUCUGCUGUGAAAAUCCGAGGCUCAACCUCGGACUUGCAGUGGGUACGGGCAGACUAGAGUGUGGUAGGGGAGACUGGAAUUCCGGGUGUAGUGGUGGAAUGCGUAGAGAUCCGGAGGAACACCAGCGGCGAAGGCGGCAUCCUGGACUGGUCCUGACACUCAGGAGCGAAAGCGUGGGGAGCGAUCCGG
RNAcentral lists this ribosomal RNA (253 nucleotides) under uncultured bacterium. RNAcentral describes it as "partial 16S ribosomal RNA". It matches the Rfam family "Bacterial small subunit ribosomal RNA", at positions 524 to 776 of the family's 1533-position model. The record is from RNAcentral.